GAUGAACGCUGGCGGCGUGCCUAAUACAUGCAAGUCGAGCGAACAGAUAAGGAGCUUGCUCCUUUGACGUUAGCGGCGGACGUGUGAGUAACACGUGGAUAACCUACCUAUAAGACUGGGAUAACUUCGGGAAACCGGAGCUAAUACCGGAUAACAUAUUGAACCGCAUGGUUCAAUAGUGAAAGGCGGCUUUGCUGUCACUUAUAGAUGGAUCCGCGCCGUAUUAGCUAGUUGGUAAGGUAACGGCUUACCAAGGCAACGAUACGUAGCCGACCUGAGAGGGUGAUCGGCCACACUGGAACUGAGACACGGUCCAGACUCCUACGGGAGGCAGCAGUAGGGAAUCUUCCGCAAUGGGCGAAAGCCUGACGGAGCAACGCCGCGUGAGUGAUGAAGGUCUUCGGAUCGUAAAACUCUGUUAUCAGGGAAGAACAAAUGUGUAAGUAACUGUGCACAUCUUGACGGUACCUGAUCAGAAAGCCACGGCUAACUACGUGC
RNAcentral lists this ribosomal RNA (498 nucleotides) under uncultured bacterium. RNAcentral describes it as "bacterial SSU rRNA". It matches the Rfam family "Bacterial small subunit ribosomal RNA", at positions 28 to 508 of the family's 1533-position model. The record is from RNAcentral.